This 253-nucleotide ribosomal RNA is filed under the name uncultured bacterium. RNAcentral's name for it is "partial 16S ribosomal RNA". It matches the Rfam family "Bacterial small subunit ribosomal RNA", at positions 524 to 776 of the family's 1533-position model. The record is from RNAcentral.
UACGUAGGGGGCAAGCGUUGUCCGGAAUCAUUGGGCGUAAAGAGCGCGUAGGCGGCCCAGUAAGUCCGCUCUGAAAGUCAGGGGCUCAACCCCUGGAUGCGGGUGGAUACUGCUGGGCUAGAGUCCGGAAGAGGUGAGUGGAAUUCCUGGUGUAGCGGUGAUAUGCGUAGAUAUCGGGAGGAACACCUGUGGCGAAGGCGGCUUUCUGGGCCUUACCUGACGCUGAGACGCGAAAGCGUGGGGAGCGAACCGG